Molecule: ribosomal RNA, 279 nt
Filed under: uncultured bacterium
Lineage: Bacteria
Description: partial 16S ribosomal RNA
Rfam family: Bacterial small subunit ribosomal RNA
Source: RNAcentral
UGCCAGCCGCCGCGGUAAUACGUAAGUCGCAAGCGUUAUCCGGAAUUACUGGGCGUAAAGCGCACGUAGGCGGAUUAGUAAGUUAGGGGUGAAAUCCCGGGGCCCAACCCCGGAACUGCCUCUAAUACUGCUAGUCUUGAGUUCGAGAGAGGUGAGUGGAAUUCCGAGUGUAGAGGUGAAAUUCGUAGAUAUUCGGAGGAACACCAGUGGCGAAGGCGGCUCACUGGCUCGAUACUGACGCUGAGGUGCGAAAGUGUGGGGAGCAAACAGGAUUAGAUA